UGACUGUUUAAUAGAUCAUAAAUUUAUAUACGCGGUUGCAUCAUUUGAAUCGUGAACUCUAAACUGUGUCAACUUAUUUCAGUUGCGAUACGUGUUUCUCACUUGUGGCAUCGUUUGUAAGUUCAACCAUUCGAAUACAUAUUUGAAUGAAUUCCCGUACAGGGUUCUCAUUGAAAACAGGAGGCAAGGCUCUUUGUAAACCUUUUUCGGGCCAAUGUCGAGUGACGCAGGUUCGGAAACUGCAAUACCUGGUAACUCGUCAAUGCGGAGGUGCGGUGGGUGCAAGAAGAAUGAAGGAAUUUUGCGUGGGCCGUUCGUAGCAUGAGACACUGAAACGCCAUUCGCUUGUUGCACUUUUUCAAAGCGACCAUUUC
RNAcentral lists this unclassified non-coding RNA (374 nucleotides) under Athalia rosae (coleseed sawfly). RNAcentral describes it as "misc RNA ENSAEAG00005006221.1". The record is from RNAcentral. Lineage: Eukaryota; Metazoa; Arthropoda; Insecta; Hymenoptera; Athaliidae.